GACGAACGCUGGCGGCGUGCUUAACACAUGCAAGUCGAACGGAAAGGCCCUGCUUUUGUGGGGUGCUCGAGUGGCGAACGGGUGAGUAACACGUGAGUAACCUGCCCUUGACUUUGGGAUAACUUCAGGAAACUGGGGCUAAUACCGGAUAGGAGCUCCUGCUGCAUGGUGGGGGUUGGAAAGUUUCGGCGGUUGGGGAUGGACUCGCGGCUUAUCAGCUUGUUGGUGGGGUAGUGGCUUACCAAGGCUUUGACGGGUAGCCGGCCUGGGAGGGUGACCGGCCACAUUGGGACUGAGAUACGGCCCAGACUCCUACGGGAGGCAGCAGUGGGGAAUAUUGAACAAUGGGCGGAAGCCUGAUGCAGCAACGCCGCGUGCGGGAUGACGGCCUUCGGGUUGUAAACCGCUUUCGCCUGUGACGAAGCGUGAGUGACGGUAAUGGGUAAAGAAGCACCGGCUAACUACGUG
RNAcentral lists this ribosomal RNA (468 nucleotides) under uncultured bacterium. Its description in RNAcentral is "partial 16S ribosomal RNA". It matches the Rfam family "Bacterial small subunit ribosomal RNA", at positions 28 to 507 of the family's 1533-position model. The record is from RNAcentral.